Long non-coding RNA from Eucalyptus grandis, 1325 nucleotides. RefSeq lists it as uncharacterized. NCBI's taxonomy places the organism in Eukaryota, Viridiplantae, Streptophyta, Magnoliopsida, Myrtales, Myrtaceae. The transcript has 2 exons. The record is from RefSeq and is a predicted model, not a curated record.
UCUAUUGGGUACGCAUAAGCACUCUGGAUCAAGAAUACAUCGAACUUUUUCGAUCUGCUUCACCAGAAUCACACUUUGUGCACCCCGCUAUUUUCCCACUUUGAUUUUCCAUUUAUUUUAUUUGCUGAACCUCUCUAGUGCUUGGUUCUUCUGCUCCCACUCCUAUAAUCGUAUUGACCACUCUCAGGGUGAUUGUUGAUCACGCUGUGCCUCCAAAAUCGUUAAAAGCCUUUUGAUAUCGAUCAUCAGUGACCCAUUUUGUGGCGUUUAGUGUAAUUACAGAGCCUUCGUCCGUCCCUCGAAGCGAGGCCCGUGCUUCGCUCCCCACCUCCGCGUCUCGGCCUUCCAGCGCGCUGGGGUCGUCCCCACAUGCGCCCUCCAGGCGUCCGAUGAAAUUCCUCUGAGAGUGGAGCUGGGCUUUUGUUGUUUCGCUGGCGUUGGUUAGUGAUAAGAAGAGAUGGAGCAGUUCGAUGCUUCUGGUUCUGUUACUGUUUUGGUCGUCUGUCAUAACUCAUUCUUGCUGGACCCCGUGGAAUUGGCUUUGUGAUGCUUUUUCUUCUGAGGAACGCAUUUUGCAACUCUACUGUACUCUAAAGAUCCCAAGUCCCAUAGGUAAAGUUUAAUUCUCAAACAGGGUGAAAAUAAUGGCGAGUCUGAGAUUGUCAGGUAAAUGAAACUGCUAGCUUGAACUGCCCUCUUUUACUCCUUUCUCAGUAUCUGUCUCGGCAGGGCAUGUUCCCUGCAUAAAGAUGCUUCUUUCGGUAAUGCAUUAACAGGUUCUUAUUGGGUCUGUAUGCCAAAGGAUUGAUUAGUGAAUGCUGCCAAAGGGAGUGGCGAUGCCAUACAUGAAAUGGAAGAGGCUCAUAGUGCAUGGCAGAGAGGGUAUCAAGGGCAAGAUUGAACUGCCGGUAGACCAGAGAUGAGCUAAAGGUAGCUGUGAAGAAACAAAAAAGGAGGAGAGAGCGGAGUCUGCAGAAGGGAGAAAAAGAGAAACUGAGAGAGACGAGAGAGAGAGAUAGAGUGAAGGGAUCUGUACAGAAACGAGGAACAUAGCGAGGAAUCUCCAGACCGUUUGCCAUAUCUUCUGAGGAAACCUCUAGUGUUCCCUUUGGCUCCCUAAGUGAUGAUAUACCUCCUCCAUCUGGACAAAGCAAAAACAAUUUCAUGAUACACCAAAGUCCUCCUUUUGCAGUUUGGUGAAGGUAAUAAUGAGGGUAAUCUCUGCCAAUGGUUACUUGAGAUAUACUAUUUAUAAAUGUAAUAGGUUUAUCUAUGUAUGCAUUUGAAUAUAAUAUUGUCUAUCGAGGCAUACAUUCUGAUUGCAA